UUGGUCUGUCAAGCUUUAGUACGGGUGUGAGACGAGGGAAGAUCUUUAGAGGAGGCAUCUUUGUAGGUGUCUGAUUUGUUUGCAGAUUAUCGUUGGUGUGACCAAUCUUCAGAUCCAGAGUUUGGCAAAGCCAAAGAAGGCAGAUCAUGAACGCUUGCUCCUAGCCCCAGUUGUGGCAGAGACACGAAAAAGAAUGGUCAUAGCAUAUGGAAGGAAUGACCCAUCUUCCUUACUUGUUCAAGGGAGAAAAAGAGGUGAUAAUGUAAGUAGGUCAAGUAAUUGAAGGAGCUCUAGCAGUGAAA
This is a long non-coding RNA of Tripterygium wilfordii, 302 nucleotides long. RefSeq lists it as uncharacterized. The transcript has 3 exons. The record is from RefSeq and is a predicted model, not a curated record. NCBI's taxonomy places the organism in Eukaryota, Viridiplantae, Streptophyta, Magnoliopsida, Celastrales, Celastraceae.